AGUCCACAGCCCUUGAAGAACGUUCAUCCUUAGAUCAAGCCCAACGGCCCUUUGGAUCAAUCACACAUCGACAAAUACACACCUUACGGAGAUCGAAUCAGAGGAUCAAAAUAGAGAGAGAUUGUAACCCAAAAUCAUCAAAUACUUAAUAUUUGUUUGUGCGCGUUUGUUCUUGUCUCUUUCGUUUCAGGAAUUUUCCGUGUUCACAAAUUGGCACGCCCAGUGGGACAAUCUCUACCUCUCAUCUCUUUCUCCGUUCAAGAAAUUCGAGCACACUUCCAAAAUUAAUGGCUUCAAGAAAGGCUCAAACUGUUCCCGCAACUGGCGCAAAGAACAAGAGCGCCCUCGUCGCAACUAGUGUCACUUUGGGCAUCACGACUCGAAGCAUGGCAAGAGCUACUUCUG
This 405-nucleotide long non-coding RNA is filed under the name Malus domestica (apple). RNAcentral describes it as "long non-coding RNA (MDOM_LNC016991)". The record is from RNAcentral. Lineage: Eukaryota; Viridiplantae; Streptophyta; Magnoliopsida; Rosales; Rosaceae.